Molecule: transfer RNA, 77 nt
Filed under: Klebsiella phage vB_KpnS_Uniso31
Lineage: Duplodnaviria; Heunggongvirae; Uroviricota; Caudoviricetes; Demerecviridae
Description: tRNA-Arg
Source: RNAcentral
AUCCGUAACUUUACGGUAACAGUUGGUAUCGGAGAAGCAGGUACGGGUAAAACGUUUAUCCCAUCUGUUCUCGCUGC